This 253-nucleotide ribosomal RNA is filed under the name uncultured bacterium. Its description in RNAcentral is "partial 16S ribosomal RNA". It matches the Rfam family "Bacterial small subunit ribosomal RNA", at positions 524 to 776 of the family's 1533-position model. The record is from RNAcentral.
UACGUAGGGCGCAAGCGUUGUCCGGAAUUACUGGGCGUAAAGGGCUCGUAGGCGGCCAACUAAGUCGGACGUGAAAUCCCCAGGCUCAACUUGGGAACUGCGUCCGAUACUGGAUGGCUUGAAUUCGGGAGAGGGAUGCAGAAUUCCAGGUGUAGCGGUGAAAUGCGUAGAUAUCUGGAGGAAUACCGGUGGCGAAGGCGGCAUCCUGGACCGACAUUGACGCUGAUGAGCGAAAGCCAGGGGAGCAAACGGG